UGGGGAAUAUUGCGCAAUGGGCGAAAGCCUGACGCAGCGACGCCGCGUGAGGGAUGAAGGUUUUCGGAUCGUAAACCUCUGUCAGAAGGGAAGAAACCGCACUGUGCAAAUCAGCAGUUCCUUGACGGUACCUCCAAAGGAAGCACCGGCAAACCCCGUGCCAGCAGCCGCGGUAAUACGGAGGGUGCAAGCGUUAAUCGGAAUUACUGGGGGUAAAGCGCACGUAGGCUGCUUUGUAAGUCAGGGGUGAAAUCCCACGGCUCAACCGUGGAACUGCCUUUGAUACUGCUUAGCUUGAAUCCGGGAGAGGGUGGCGGAAUUCCAGGUGUAGGAGUGAAAUCCGUAGAUAUCUGGAGGAACAUCUGUGGCGAAGGCGGCCACCUGGACCGGUAUUGACGCUGAGGUGCGAAAGCGUGGGGAGCAAACAGG
This 429-nucleotide ribosomal RNA is filed under the name Fusobacteriota bacterium. Its description in RNAcentral is "Fusobacteria bacterium partial 16S ribosomal RNA". It matches the Rfam family "Bacterial small subunit ribosomal RNA", at positions 355 to 776 of the family's 1533-position model. The record is from RNAcentral. Lineage: Bacteria; Fusobacteriati; Fusobacteriota.